RNAcentral lists this ribosomal RNA (450 nucleotides) under uncultured Glomeromycotina. RNAcentral describes it as "SSU rRNA". It matches the Rfam family "Eukaryotic small subunit ribosomal RNA", at positions 569 to 1025 of the family's 1831-position model. Lineage: Eukaryota; Fungi; Glomeromycota. The record is from RNAcentral.
AGCAGCCGCGGUAAUUCCAGCUCCAAUAGCGUAUAUUAAAGUUGUUGCAGUUAAAAAGCUCGUAGUUGAAUUUAGAGAUCAAAUUGUUGGUCGUGCCUUGGUACGCACUGGCAUUAUUGGUUUCUCCCUUCUGACGAACCAUGAUGUCAUUAAUUUGGUGUCUUGGGGAAUCAGGACUGUUACUUUGAAAAAUUAGAGUGUUUAAAGCAGGCUCACGCUUGAAUACAUUAGCAUGGAAUAAUGAAAUAGGACGUUUGAUUCUAUUUUGUUGGUUUCUAGGAUCGACGUAAUGAUUAAUAGGGAUAGUUGGGGGCAUUAGUAUUCAAUUGUCAGAGGUGAAAUCCCUGGAUUUAUUGAAGACUAACUACUGCGAAAGCAUUUGCCAAGGAUGUUUUCAUUAAUCAAGAACGAAAGUUAGGGGAUCGAAGACGAUCAGAUACCGUCGUAGUC